UCAUAGCUUGUUAUUUAUUUUCUAAGUAUUUUUCCAUACAAAAUACCAAGGUAAAGGAAGUACUAAAAUGUAGUAAAUGCAGUCAAUUAAAACAAAACCAAAGAUUUAAAAGAAGAAGAAAAAACUAGCAGUAGAGGGUGUAUCAUGUGGAGUUAGGGUGUUGUAAGUGAAAUGGAUGGGCUUUGGAACCUCAAGCUCAAAACAAUUCAACCUAUGCAGUGGGGGUGUGCCAUAGAAUUGAGGGUGUAUGUAGUAAAAUGUUGGGCCAAAGGCCCAACCAGAUCCAAACCAAGGCAACGUAAGCAAGGACACACCUCAAUGCUCCGACCAAUUAAAACACACUUCCCUCUCAAAUGAAUCUGGCUGGAACUGUCAACUCCAUCGCGCCAGAAUUCGCCACCGGCGAUGACGAAGACUCAAAUCAACAAAUACUCACAUCAUCCUCUUCGUCUCACUGAGCACUGUCCAAAUCCAACCUCGACUUCUUCUAAUUCUUACCCUAUCACCUAAACCGGACCAUUUAUCACAUGAACCUUAAAACCUAAAACUAAAAUUAAACACUAACCAGGAGGAAACCAAACCUAAAUUCUUAGGGCUUUGGUUCCUCAAACCUCCAAUUACAUGUUGGUAACUAGUUCAGAGUAAAAUGAAGAAGAAGAUGCUCACCUGCUAGAGAUGAGGAAUUCCUAUACGAAUUGCAGUCCGAAUAUGAAGAUGAAGAUGAAAUUCAAAGAGAAGCCAUCAAUAUUCUGAAUUGACAGGUGAAUGUUAUUGAUGAAGUGACUUAAUGCAUUGUUGGGUUUUUCUUUGUAUGAUGCAUGAUUGGUACACGAUGGGUUUGCCACAAUGCUUGGAUGUAUGCUUGGAGAACAUGUAUGCUUGAAGAAGUUUGGAUCAAUGUAAAGAAUGGAGAAUAGACUUUAGGACUUUAGGUAAAGGUUGGUGAGUUGACUUUGGUCAACUGGUUGACCAAAAGGUCAACAGGUGACCAAAGUCAAUUAUAGGUCAAAAAAUGAAAUUUUGUAUGUAAUGACUUGGAUUUGUGUAUUGGUGUACUGAUUUGUAAUUAAGCAAAGAACUUGUGUAUGGUUUGCCCCUUAAUGACUUCUUCCUUCAAAUUGUGACCUUGGAAUUACCCUUGUGUAAACAACUUGAAUUUACUUUGCUUUUUUAAUCAUGAUCUUGAAUAUGAA
Molecule: long non-coding RNA, 1193 nt
Organism: Lathyrus oleraceus (garden pea)
Lineage: Eukaryota; Viridiplantae; Streptophyta; Magnoliopsida; Fabales; Fabaceae
Exons: 2
Source: RefSeq, a predicted model, not a curated record